UACAUACUCCCUCUGUCUCAAAAUUCUUGUCUUAGAUUAGUCUAGAUAUGGAUGUAUCUGAUACCAAAACAUGACUUGAUACAUCCGUAUUUAGACAAAUCUAAGACAAAAAUUUUGGGACGGAGGGAGUAUUUC
Non-coding RNA from Triticum aestivum (bread wheat), 135 nucleotides. NCBI's taxonomy places the organism in Eukaryota, Viridiplantae, Streptophyta, Magnoliopsida, Poales, Poaceae. The record is from Rfam.